Long non-coding RNA from Felis catus (domestic cat), 2323 nucleotides. RefSeq lists it as uncharacterized. Lineage: Eukaryota; Metazoa; Chordata; Mammalia; Carnivora; Felidae. The transcript is spliced from 6 exons. The record is from RefSeq and is a predicted model, not a curated record.
GCUCUGUCUCUCUCUGUCCCAAAAAUAAUAAAUAAACAUUGAAAAAAAAAUUAAAAAAAAAUUAAAAAAAAAAGAAUUCAAUUUCAUAAACUUACAAUUACAACAGUUAUAUUUAAAAACAAAGGUAACAAAACCCCCCACUCACCACUUUUAAAUUAUUUUGCUACAUUUUAACAUGACCCAUGCUCUUGAGCUGAUUUACAUCCAUCCUACCUGUACCGUGAACAGAAAAGAUAGUGCCGUGCUGCCUCGCUCUUCACGACCGCAUAGUCAGUGAGUCACAAUGAUAGUUUGAAAUCUGCACGAUGGGAGAAUUUACACCACAGAAAUUGGCUAGAAGUCAUGGCUUGAUUUAUCCUUUUGUUGACUAUCUAGACGUAAGAAAAUGAUGGAGAAAAUAGUAAUAACAUGAGUAGCAUUAAGUUUAAAUCUGUUUUGUGCCGAUAUUCGUUACCUUGUGGACAGCCCCCUCAAAUUGAGGAAAUAUUCCUUUGAUAUUCAGAAACUGUUAUCUGAUUCAGCAACGAAGCUGCUUACAUCAUCCAUGAACAGGUGUUGUUCUGACGCAUGUCUUUGUUGUUUAUUACUCCUUAAUAUAAAUGAAGAUAUUCACCAGUAUUCAUGUUGGAAUUAUACUUGUUUGAUCAUUGCAACCAUGGGUGGCUAAGGAUACAACAGUAAGAUAAGAAUCAAGGAAAGUGUUCUGUGAGAAAUCAACUGACUAUAUGGAAUUUCUAAUGCAGAGGCUUGAAUAUUUUCUUACAGUUAUAUAUUAUAGUCAAACGUUAUUUAUGUCAGGAAAUUUAUAUUACACGUACACAUGUAUUUAUGUGUGCAUGUUUUUCGUAGAGAGCCGAUUGUCAAACUUUUCCUAGCACACCACUGCCCAUAAAGUUGAGUUUCCUACUCUUACUUAGAAUAUACCUCUAUUUUUCCAGAGCCAAAGCCUCUUCCAUGUGAGAUAUUGGAGGAAGAGCUAUGGAGCCAGUGGAGGAGAAAGUAUCCUCUGGAGAGCUGCACAGCAGGGAGACUGUCUGGGCCAAUGGGAAAAGACUUGCGGUCAGGGGACCUGGUUCUUCUCUCAGCGCUGCUACUGAUGAGCCCUUUGGCCUUGGACAGAUUUCAAGACCAGUUCUGUCAGAUGGCUGAGACCCAACCUUACAAGGUAGUGGUGGUGAUGAUGAUGUGCUCCUGGCUUCAUUCUAGGACUAUGUCGGAUUGCAUGGUCUGGCCCUAUGCUAUAGGAGGAAGACAAGGAGGAAAUGUACACUGGGAGGGUCCAGACCAACAUUUUGGACUUGGCUUGCUACCAGAUCCAGGUGAAACCUUUUGGUGAGAAUUCUAUCCAGCUCUGAGAAAUCUGACUAAAGACAGUGCGAUUCCCAGGAUGAAGGAUUCCACAGUAUCAUGGCAAGUAUACAUGGUAAUGGUUGCCUGGUUGUCCCGCAAAGAGACUUACAGCCAUUUACUUUGGUGACCACAGACUAGGGAGAUGGGGGGGGGUACCCAAUCAUAGGGUAAAAGUUAACCCAGAGACCUGAAGCAUCAUCAUGACAGCAUAUGGAGGCCAAGCAAUAAAUACAAUCCUGAUCCAGCUGUGGUUCAUCAUGGGUCUAGUGGGUCCAUGGACCCACUCAGUGGUCAUUUCCCUGUCUCCAAAUGUACCAUGGGAGAAGAUAUACUUUGUAUGUGGCAUAAUCCCCGUAUUGGUUUCCUCACUUUUGGAAUAAGACCAGUCAUAGUGGGAAGGCCAAGUAGAAGCUCUGAACCUUCCAACCCACCCCCCACUCCCAGCCAAAACAAUAAAUUGAAAAUAAAAUCACUUUCCAGCCACCUUUAUAGUCUAAAGGAUGCUGAGAUGGUAGGCCUCAUGAUAUCUUUAUUUAAUUCAUCGGUUUGACCCUUGAAAAAACCAGAUGGAUGCUGGCAGAUAAGGACCUACUACUGCAAACUCAACUGUGUAGAAGCCACAAUUACAGAUGGCGUACCAGAUGUGGUGUCUUUGCUACAGCAGAUUAACAAGGCCUCAAGUACAUGAUAUGUGGCCAUUGGUCUGGCACAUAUAUUUUUUUCCCAUCUCCAUAAGGUAAGAGGAUAAAAAACAAUUCGCAUCCAUCUGGAAUGGGCAACAGAUUACAUUUACAAUCUUGACCUAGGAUUAUAUCAACUCCCCUGUCCUCUAUCACAAUAUAGUCUGAGGAGUCUGAGGGGACUUUAUGCCAAACGUCACACUGUUCCACUAGAAUGAUGACAUUAUGCUAAUCAGAUAAUGAGCAAAAAAUGGCUAAGGGGCGCCUGGGUGGCUCAGUUGGUAAGUAUCCGA